RNAcentral lists this ribosomal RNA (492 nucleotides) under uncultured bacterium. RNAcentral describes it as "partial 16S ribosomal RNA". It matches the Rfam family "Bacterial small subunit ribosomal RNA", at positions 29 to 507 of the family's 1533-position model. The record is from RNAcentral.
AGUGAACGCUGGCGGUAGGCCUAACACAUGCAAGUCGAACGGCAGCACAGUAAGAGCUUGCUCUUACGGGUGGCGAGUGGCGGACGGGCGAGGAAUACAUCGGAAUCUACUUUUUCGUGGGGGAUAACGUAGGGAAACUUACGCUAAUACCGCAUACGACCUACGGGUGAAAGCAGGGGAUCUUCGGACCUUGCGCGAUUGAAUUAGCCGAUGUCGGAUUAGCUAGUUGGCGGGGUAAAGGCCCACCAAGGCGACGAUCCGUAGCUGGUCUGAGAGGAUGAUCAGCCACACUGGAACUGAGACACGGUCCAGACUCCUACGGGAGGCAGCAGUGGGGAAUAUUGGACAAUGGGCGCAAGCCUGAUCCAGCCAUACCGCGUGGGUGAAGAAGGCCUUCGGGUUGUAAAGCCCUUUUGUUGGGAAAGAAAAGCAGCAGGUUAAUACCCCGCUGUUCUGACGGUACCCAAAGAAUAAGCACCGGCUAACUUCGUG